AUUUAUAGCUAAAUUUAUGUGUAUUUAUUUAUUUAUACUUUUUCUCAGAGCGAUAACGUUAUUUUCUUUUACUCAUGACGCAGAGCAGACAGGGAAGUUGGUUGUAUCAAGGAAAACACAGAAAAGACUGAACAUCAUCAAUAAAACACAAGUUUAGUUCCAACACCAAUUAAGCAGACCUGAGCAGCUGAUCAAGGAUCACCAGAAACUCUGCAGAACUUUGGUCCUCAAUGCCCAGACCCGCCUUGAAUGAGCUGUAACAGCCCGAUCGCCAUUGUUUCAAUGCUGGAACAGGGAUGUAGACAAUGGCUUCUAAGAGAUUGAGGUGUUCUGUUGUUGGAUGUAAUAAUGAACAUAGUAGUUGUCAUUUACUCCCGAAAUCUGAGCCGCUGAAGACACAGUGGAGGACUUUUGUUUGUGAUGGAAUGCACCUCCCGAUCUACAUAUAUUCAUCUAUGUUCGCACAAAUAAUUUGUGAUCCAGCUUCACUUACAGCAGAAUGUUUUGCAAACUCAUUUAGUGCUCCAGUGUCACGGUUUAGUCGUCGUGUGCGGGGAAUGAAGCAGGAGAAGUGCGGAGAUCCAACUAAAUGCAGUUUAUUUAAAUAAUCCACAGAGUACAUAAAACGAACACAGGGAAAACAGCAGGGAACCAGCAAACACUACGAACAUGAACGGAAUGACAAUGUAAUCGCCGACAAACAUGAACAUACAACCAAACCUUAAAUACACGGACACAA
This is a long non-coding RNA of Labeo rohita (rohu), 739 nucleotides long. RefSeq lists it as uncharacterized. The record is from RefSeq and is a predicted model, not a curated record. The transcript is spliced from 5 exons. Lineage: Eukaryota; Metazoa; Chordata; Actinopteri; Cypriniformes; Cyprinidae.